RNAcentral lists this ribosomal RNA (482 nucleotides) under uncultured Alteromonadaceae bacterium. RNAcentral describes it as "bacterial SSU rRNA". It matches the Rfam family "Bacterial small subunit ribosomal RNA", at positions 523 to 992 of the family's 1533-position model. Lineage: Bacteria; Pseudomonadati; Pseudomonadota; Gammaproteobacteria; Alteromonadales; Alteromonadaceae. The record is from RNAcentral.
AUACGGGAGGGUGCGAGCGUUAAUCGGGAAUUACUGGGCGUAAAGCGCACGCAGGCGGUCUGUUAAGCUAGAUGUGAAAGCCCCGCGCUCAACGUGGGAGGGUCAUUUAGAACUGGCAGACUAGAGUCUUGGAGAGGGGAGUGGAAUUCCAGGUGUAGCGGUGAAAUGCGUAGAGAUCUGGAGGAACAUCAAUGGCGAAGGCAACUCCCUGGCCAAAGACUGACGCUCAAUGUGCGAAAGUGUGGGUAGCGAACAGGAUUAGAUACCCUGGUAGUCCACACCGUAAACGCUAGUCUACUAGCUGUUUGUGAAUUUAAUUCGUAGAGUAGCGAAGCGUAAACGCGAUAAGUAGAACCGACCUGGGGAGUACGGCCGCGAAGGUAAAACUCAAAAUGAAUUGACGGGGCCCGCACAAAGCGGUAGGAGCAUGUGGUUAAAUUCGAUGACAACGCGAAGAACCUUACCUACUCUUGACAUACUAG